CCUACGGGAGGCAGCAGUCGAGAAUCAUUCACAAUGGGGGAAACCCUGAUGGGGCGACGCCGCGUGGGGGAAUGAAGGUCUGCGGAUUGUAAACCCCUGUCAUGGGGGAGCAAAUUAAAAAGAUAGUACAACAAGAGGAAGAGACGGCGAACUCGGGGCCAGCAGCCGCGGUAAGACAGAGGUCUCAAGCGUUGUUCGGAACAACGGGGCGUAUAGCGUGCGUAGGCGGUUUCGUAAGUCGUGUGUGAAAGGCGCGGGCUCAACCCGCGGACGGCACCUGAUACUGCGAGACUAGAGUAAUGGAGGGGGAACCGGAAUUCUCGGUGUAGCCGUG
Molecule: ribosomal RNA, 334 nt
Filed under: uncultured bacterium
Lineage: Bacteria
Description: partial 16S ribosomal RNA
Rfam family: Bacterial small subunit ribosomal RNA
Source: RNAcentral